UCAAACUGUUGCCUCAAAUAGCCUGGGAAAUAGACCAAAAAUAAAUAGACAAAUUUUAAAACAGCCAUAUUUGUCAUAAAUAUAUGGAAUUGCAGACCUCUAAAAACACGUUUUUGCAGUUGCUUCCUGAAGAUAUUGCACAUUAUGUUUUUGUAAUCCUGGUAACUUUAGCACUUCAGAAUUUUAAGUUCAGCUGAGAAUUCAUUAUCAUUCCUUCAUUAAAAUGUCUCCAUGUGUAAAACCAAACUGAAACUUUGUGUGCAAGCAGUGAGAUCUGAAUUUGAAUUCUAGCUCCUUUGCUUACUAAUUCUGUGAUGUCACCAUAGCCCUUUCCAUCUUUCACUUGCUUCUAAUAUCCCAGGACAAUUGCAAGCAACAAAUAAGACACAUAUGAGGACUUGCCUAAGGUAGAGCUUCAGUGUAGAGAGAAUCUCAGUAAGAAUUAAGAGUUGAGGUCAACAGGGAUUUAGCACAACAGCAAAAGAGCCAAAGUGGAAUUGCUGAGGACCUGUCUGACCAUGCAGGAAGGAGCUGAAGAUAUAACACACCCAGUCUUGGUGGAAGGAGCAGCAAGUAACCACUUUGAACAACAGAGAGAGAAUGACUCAAGUUAUCUUCAGAUCCAGCCCAGACUUGAAGAGAACGGAAGCCAAGCUCUUAAGCAUCAGGGAAGGUUUGAGGCUGUGAUAACCUGCGAAAGUAAGUCCAAUGAGAGAGAGAGU
This is a long non-coding RNA of Sapajus apella (tufted capuchin), 722 nucleotides long. RefSeq lists it as uncharacterized. The transcript has 3 exons. Lineage: Eukaryota; Metazoa; Chordata; Mammalia; Primates; Cebidae. The record is from RefSeq and is a predicted model, not a curated record.